GAUGUACUCCCUCUGUCCGGAAAUAUUUGUCACAAGAAUGGAUGUAUCUAGAUGUAUUUUAGUUCAAGAUACAUCCAUUUUUAUCCAUUUAUUUGACAAGUAAUUGUGGACGGAGGGAGUAUAAC
Molecule: microRNA precursor, 125 nt
Filed under: Hordeum vulgare
Lineage: Eukaryota; Viridiplantae; Streptophyta; Magnoliopsida; Poales; Poaceae
Description: microRNA MIR1122
Rfam family: MIR1120/MIR1122 microRNA precursor family
Source: RNAcentral